Molecule: ribosomal RNA, 425 nt
Filed under: uncultured bacterium
Lineage: Bacteria
Description: partial 16S ribosomal RNA
Rfam family: Bacterial small subunit ribosomal RNA
Source: RNAcentral
GUGGGGAAUCUUGCGCAAUGGGCGAAAGCCUGACGCAGCCAUGCCGCGUGAAUGAUGAAGGUCUUAGGAUUGUAAAAUUCUUUCACCGGGGACGAUAAUGACGGUACCCGGAGAAGAAGCCCCGGCUAACUUCGUGCCAGCAGCCGCGGUAAUACGAAGGGGGCUAGCGUUGCUCGGAAUUACUGGGCGUAAAGGGCGCGUAGGCGGACAGUUUAGUCAGAGGUGAAAGCCCAGGGCUCAACCUUGGAAUUGCCUUUGAUACUGGCUGUCUUGAGUACGGGAGAGGUGAGUGGAACUCCGAGUGUAGGGGUGAAAUUCGUAGAUAUUCGGAAGAACACCAGUGGCGAAGGCGACUCACUGGCCCGUUACUGACGCUGAGGCGCGAAAGCGUGGGGAGCAAACAGGAUUAGAAACCCUAGUAGUCC